RNAcentral lists this ribosomal RNA (696 nucleotides) under Triticum aestivum (bread wheat). Its description in RNAcentral is "partial small subunit ribosomal RNA". Lineage: Eukaryota; Viridiplantae; Streptophyta; Magnoliopsida; Poales; Poaceae. The record is from RNAcentral.
AUGAGUUGCCUAAAAGAAGUUCCGACACUCAGAGGUGACAACCACACUGAGUGGAGGAAGAAAGUUGAACUGGCGUUUGUUUGUGCUGAUCUUGACUGGGUUGUGGAGAAACCACAGCCGGUCAGACCCACAGAGCCAGUAAGAGAGGCUACUGAUGAUGAUGCUGCAUGGGCUAAAAAGAAAGGGGACUAUGCUCCUUUGGAGCAGUCCUACCUCAUAGAUAAUCAAAAGUGGGUCAAUGCAAAUAAAAAUUGCAUGGCUUUUAUAAAGAACACCAUUGAGAGCGCCAUUGUGGGCUCCAUUGCAGAGUGCACUUCCGCAGGGGAGUUGCUCUCAAAGAUAAAAAGCCAGUUCACUGGCUCUUCAAAGAUAUAUGCCACCCAGGUGUUAGAGCAACUGGUGACAGAAAAAUACACAGGUGGUAGUCAUGGCAUAAGAGAGCACAUCCUCAGGAUGAGCAAUAUGGCAGCAAAGCUCAAACCCAUGGAUGCGGAUCUGGAGAUCAAACCAGCGCUCCUGGUCCACCUUGUCAUGGCUUCAUUGCCGAAGGAGUUUGAAGCUUUUGUUGUGAACUAUAAUAUGUCACCUGGAACAUGGGACGUUGAAAAGACAAUAGCAAUGUGUGUUCAAGAAGAGGAGAGACUCAAAGCCUCACAUGGUGGUACACUCAACUAUGUGCAGGGUCACAAAAGAAAG